This 174-nucleotide ribosomal RNA is filed under the name uncultured bacterium. RNAcentral describes it as "partial 16S ribosomal RNA". It matches the Rfam family "Bacterial small subunit ribosomal RNA", at positions 338 to 524 of the family's 1533-position model. The record is from RNAcentral.
CCUACGGGAGGCAGCAGUGGGGAAUAUUGCACAAUGGGCGGAAGCCUGAUGCAGCAACGCCGCGUGAGGGACGACGGCCUUCGGGUUGUAAACCUCUUUUAGCAGGGAAGAAGCGAGAGUGACGGUACCUGCAGAAAAAGCACCGGCUAACUACGUGCCAGCAGCCGCGGUAAU